This 722-nucleotide long non-coding RNA is filed under the name Mus caroli (Ryukyu mouse). Its description in RNAcentral is "lncRNA (MGP_CAROLIEiJ_G0005457.1)". The record is from RNAcentral. Lineage: Eukaryota; Metazoa; Chordata; Mammalia; Rodentia; Muridae.
AUGAGAAAGUCCAGUCAAAGGCACCCUUGCAGGAGGCGCUGCUUUCUGUCACGGGAUGGUUCAGAGUUGGGGAGGGAGGCCGCAGUUGAACAGCAAACCCUUACUCUGUUUGCUUUUCUCUGGGCCUGGGGCCCGGAACCCAGGGCGAGGGUGAGAAGUUGGGGAGAGGGCGCGCUCCCAGUGCGUGGCUGGGUCGCGCUGCCAGCUGCCUGGUGGCGGCAGGGUGAACCCGGCUACGCGCGCCGGGUGACCAAAGCUCCGCCCCCAGCUCUCGUCUCUCAUUGAUUGACGCGCAGCCGCGGGGAAACAGCAGCGCAGAGAUUGAGCUCAGGAUCCCUAGACUCUCCACGGUGGUCCACACAGUCUGCAGCGCACCGAGGGACUAUGCUUCGAGUUCAGCUGCUCAUAUCUUGUACUAGACAAAAAUGAAUAUUGACAAUAAGGGUUCUGCAUCUGCACGAGAAAGAAAGUACCACUCAACAACAACAACAACAGCAACAACAGCAAAAAUCCUAGCCUGGCCGUGGUGCAGUCUGCGGAGCUUGCUGCUCUAGGUUGUUAGUGGCAGAGUUCGGGACCUAGUAAUCCGCCGGCAGAGGAAGGGGGCUGCGGAAUUAAAACGAACAAAAGCUAGAGCGCCAUGCCAAACAUCCCCAACGCGACCCAGUUAGGCAGGAGCCAAGAGGAGUGGUGGGGAAAUAAACGAGAAGUAAGUUGAAAAU